CAACUGCAGACAGAAUGCUGUCCAAGAAGGACAAACAGGAUGCAGAGAAGUCUAUUGCCAAGCUUUGCAAGAACAAGAUCAAGGAGACCUGCACACUCUGAAGACAGUCCAAAGCUCACAACCAUCUUCAUAAUGUUCAUCAGCGAGUCGGCUAGAGGAUGAGGGCAUGUCCUUCCUGGGACUUUUUCUCUCUGUCCUCUUUAAAGAGCUCGCUCUUCAGAAUGGACUUCUUUUCAUGACACAUAAGAGACGUCGGCAUCCUUUCUAACACUGUCCCGUGCGUGCUGGCCAUAAGACAGAAGGAGAUGAUUCUCUUCCAAGUCAUCACGUAUCCCUCGGCUUUUCCAGAUGUUGGCAGUCCAGUCCCUUUCCUGACCUGCUAUUGCAUGGGUUCCUUAAUUUACAAACUGUCCAUCUUUAGCCAGGCCCUCACCAGGCUGGCCAGUCUUAUAAAGAAAACCUUACCCACAUGCUGUUCUCAAGGGUGAACCCUGCAAGGUAGUCACAGUCCUUUGGACAAGACAAAGACAGGUUGGUCGGUAGAGGUCCUAUUGCUGCAAAGUGUAGACCCCCUUUAAAAAAUUUUAAAAUUAUUUGUAUGUAUUCAUGUGGGGAAUCUGAGUGUGUGUGUGUGUGUGUGUGUGUGUGUGUUACCUGCACAUGAAUAUACAGGCAUACAUGUCUGUAUGUAUGCACAUGGAGACCAGAAUACUAUCUUAAGUGUCUUUCUGGAUCACUCUGCCUUAUCACCUUGAAGUUCACUUUUCUGGGUCAAUGGAUUGUCACAAUCCACCUGUUGUUGCCCUGCAGUGGGGGCUUCAGACACGCCCAGCUCUCCAUGUAUGUGCCAGGGAUUUGAACUAGAGUCCUUAUGUUUUCAGAGCAAGCACUCUCACCGACUGAACCUUCUCCCUAGGCUGA
Molecule: long non-coding RNA, 921 nt
Organism: Mus musculus (house mouse)
Lineage: Eukaryota; Metazoa; Chordata; Mammalia; Rodentia; Muridae
Product: predicted gene, 39880
Exons: 3
Source: RefSeq, a predicted model, not a curated record